Long non-coding RNA from Neogale vison (American mink), 3756 nucleotides. RefSeq lists it as uncharacterized. The transcript has 7 exons. The record is from RefSeq and is a predicted model, not a curated record. NCBI's taxonomy places the organism in Eukaryota, Metazoa, Chordata, Mammalia, Carnivora, Mustelidae.
UUUAUUCUGAGAGGUAUUAAUUUUUUCUUAAAAAAAAAAAAGGAAAACAGACUUGCUAACUAAAGUCAGUGUGGUGCUAAGAGGAUGAGAGUCUCCCAAAACUUGUUCCUUUGCUGUCGGCCAAUUAAACGCUUAUACCUGCUUAAUCAUUUAAUGUCGGGAAGAUCAAGAUUUGUCUGAUCAACACAGGAAAAUGACUUUGAGGAUAGAGACGCCUCUAAUGUGAAAUCACAGAAUCACGAUCCUUUGAGGAUGGAAAUGGCUCAUAGGUAAGUAAUUGGAAUUUUUUUUACAACCACGACACCAAAGGCGUAGCUGAUGAAUUUCCUUAAUGGUCUCCUUGUCAGCGGAUCAGCCAAGGAAAGGCUUUUCAGUUAUAAGCAAGUCAAGGAAAGUGCAUGUAACAACAACAGCGACAAAGAUGACCCACUCAGACCCUGCGGCAGAGGUUCAACAUUUGGCUCUGCAGCGGAGCCUUGUCAAGUUUCCAGCUGCACGCCUCUGGAGCGGUCCUGGGCAAGGCAGCUCCCUUCUCAUGCCCAAGGGCCCUGCUCUGGGAUCUGAGGGUUGUGUGAUGCCCUGGGGUUGCGUGGGUAUGAAGUAAGUUGAUGCACACAGAGGAUCUACAACCUAGUACUCAGUAGCUGUCACAUCCACUCUUUAAUGAGGCAUUCCCCGUAGCACAGACCAAGUCCUCUGAUGGUACCAUGUGCAGAUCUUGAGAUGUUAGUCCUUUUCUCUUCUAAAUACCAUUCUUCAGAUGUCUGCUGCCCUGACUGUCCAUUUACGGAAAGACUCUUCUGCCUUUCCAGCGGAAGGUUUGCAUGGGAAAUUAGGAGUAAACCAAUACCAGCACUAACCCAUCUGCCGGAGAAACUCUUGAAUCACUUUUUGCCUUUUACAGUUUUUCUACACUAUUCAUCUAAUACUUAGUAGAUUGUAUGGAAAUGUAAGGUCGUUCACAUCAGAAAUUUGUGUCCAUUUGGUGUAUGUAUCUCUGGGCCCACAACAGACCCUCGGCACUUAGUAAAUGGGUGCCAUCGCAUGACAGAGUGAUUUUUCAGGCUGGCUUCUGAACACUUGUGUUACCCUGAAGAGGAGAUGGCCUGGAACAUCAUGGGAGGCGUCUGACCCAUUUUCUUCUCACGUGUCUUCUCUCUCAUAUUCAGACACGGACGCACCAUUUCCCCGGUCCACCUAGCUUCUCUGUCACCUAGCUGAUGAUUGUCACAGAGCUCACUCCUGAACACAACAGGUAUUGUGAAUGAGUACAAGACAGUGAGAGACGUAAGGCAUUAAAAAUGCCCCCAAAGCCAAGAGGUCUCAAAAACAGAAGACGGUGCUCUCCUUUUCUCCCAUUAAGCCCACUUCUGGUGAAUGUUGCCUCGUGCAUAUUUGUAUGCCGGUCACUGGCGGAAGGACUUGCAGACAUGUCGUUAUUUGACCAGCAUUUAUCGACCGCACGUGAUGCGGUAGAAUCUAUUACUAGUUGAGAAUUUUCCUGAACUGAGUAUGUAUUGAUUUUUAUGAAAGUUUUCUUUGCUUUUAAUAUGUUCUGCACAUUCCUGGUUCUAGCCGUAGAAAACCAAAAUGCGACCUCUUAGCCGCCUCAACCGGAGCAGGGCGUUGUGGCGCCUCUGGGAGAAGAGUGUGUCAGCGGGAGGACCUCCCCGCUGUGGGGAGGGCGGCUUCUGCAGGGAGGAGCUGGAGUAUAGCCUGCAAAGUGACGUGGGAAAAUACAGGGAUUGGAGCACGAGUGUUCAGAGUCACGUCACGGAUUUACCUGAAGCCAAUCAGUUAAUCUGUUACUCAGUUUCCCCAGUUGUACUACGUGCUACUGGAAACUGUGCAAGGAACAAACAGAGUCUCCAUUGAUAUAGGAAUUUAGGGCAUAAAACGUGGUCUGCUGUUCAGUUGGACCAGCCGGUCUGUGUCUGUAUCUGGGAUCAGCUGUAUGAAAGUGUGGAAGAGUCGGCUGAAUGAAUUUCAGGAGAAAAGAAAUUUCUCCUGGGUGGCAAGAUAAUUCCACCACCUACCCUUGAUGCCUUCUGUGUAUUAGCAUGAGAGAUGCAGGAGUCUUCGAUCUUCUGAGGAGAGCAGGCCAUAGGAGGACAACACUGAAGAUGUCUGGAGAAAGAGUGAGGAUAUCUGUGGGAAAGGAAGGACUCAUGAGGAGAGGAAGCCGAGCAUGAAGGUCAGGGGACUCACGGUGUCACUUUAUCAAGGUAAAGUACAACGUGAGCUACCUGCUGGGUGUCCGCCACCGCGAUCUUGGAUUUCCCUGUGAGUCAUGGGGCUAAUGCCCUUCCCUCCCUACGUUCUGCUGCUUUCUUGGGCUGUGUGCUUUCCAAGUGCUGCCCGCCGCACCUUCAGCAGGAGGAAGCCAUUAUAUUAAACCCCUCGGUUCGGUUCAUGCAUCCCUUAGACUGGUUCUGAAUUAUCUUUGAGGUAUCAGGUGCCAGCUGGGCGAGGUGCUAGGGACCCCGAGACAAACAAAACCGACGUGAUUCCGGAUCUCUUGGAGCCUCCUGUCCGGCGGCAGAAACAGCUGUUCGUAUUCUCCACUGACACUUCACGUGCACGGUCAUCGUUCCAAGCCCUUUGUCGCACGGACUCAUUUUGUCUUCACAGUGGCCUUGCAGAACGUGUCACAGAUGAGGAAACUGGACCACGGAACGUUUGUGCAACUGACUCCGAUAUCUUUCGCCAGUAUGACAGGUAAAGGCUGAGGCAGGAGCACCUUAGUAAGGCACACGUACCAGUGAAGGCGCUCCGGGUCCCUAAGCCAGAAACCUUGCCUCGCGGCGGUGCAGACCGAAGAGGAAAUACUUCCCUUACCUGCAAGUGGGACGGCCGCUGCCCAGUGCCCCACAAGCUAAAAUCAUCCGGUGAAAAAGCGAACUCGCCCCCCCGCCCCCGUCACCUUUGUCAUUUCUGGUCCACCUCAGAUGCCUUUUCUUCAAAAGUGACUCUUGAGGCUCCAGGACAGUAAUUCAAGCAGACUCCUUGAUCGGUACUGAUUGUCAGGAGUCCUAAGUAAGAUUCCAGCCACGGUGGGAUAGUCCAGACGCUUUUCCUGUUUGUUACUGGGGCUUCGAGGUCCAAAAAUGUUGUCCUAUGUUUCCUCCCUGGCAUCUGAAGAGUCUGGCCAAGGAUCGUCCUGCUGGGCGAACCUACAGUCAACACUGUCCUUCCAGCCCUGCGGGGCCUGGGAGUGGAGGACCCUUGACUUCCAAUGUCGGUGUCAGGAUGAUGCUGCGUCUGUCCCAUCGAGAGGUCAUGAUCUCUCCUAGACUAUAUCCAUCUGAGGCAAUACUUUGGACUCCAUCUGCCUUAUGUUAUUUUUGUCUUAUUUUCUCGAUUAUUUCAUAAACUGUCAAAAGAAGAGAUGCAUGAAGGUCUAGUAAACAUGGUGAAAAAGUAUUUCUAAAAACAAGAAUCACACUUUAAGGUAAAAAAGUAGAAACAUUGCUAGUAAUUGGAAGUAGAAAAUGAUUCUCACUAUUUCCCUUAUGAAUUAACUCCUGGGGGAUAAACAUUUGAGAGAAAUGUCAGAUGACGCAUUUACUCAUAUGUGAUAUGAUUAUAUAGCACAAGAAACAAUUAUUCAACUUAAAAAUUGUUAAAGUAUCUAAGAAAAUUCAGAACCGUUCUCAAGGAAGGGUUUUAAAAUUAAUGUACAAAAGCUAAUAGUUUAUAAGAUGUAAACAAUGGCUACUAAGAAGAUACAAUAAAUGAAACCAUUCACACUGGAAA